GACAGAGGGUGCAAACGUUGCUCGGAAUUACUGGGCGUAAAGCGCGUGUAGGUGGAUUGGUGUGUCAGAUGUGAAAUCCCUGGGCUCAACCCAGGAACUGCACCUGAAACUACCAGUCUUGAGUGGUGGAGAGGGAAGUGGAAUUCCUGGUGUAGAGGUGAAAUUCGUAGAUAUCAGGAGGAACACCAGUGGCGAAGGCGGCUUCCUGGACACCAACUGACGCUGAGACGCGAAGGCCAGGGGAGCAAACGGG
Molecule: ribosomal RNA, 253 nt
Filed under: uncultured bacterium
Lineage: Bacteria
Description: partial 16S ribosomal RNA
Rfam family: Bacterial small subunit ribosomal RNA
Source: RNAcentral